RNAcentral lists this ribosomal RNA (2556 nucleotides) under human oral metagenome. RNAcentral's name for it is "bacterial LSU rRNA". It matches the Rfam family "Bacterial large subunit ribosomal RNA", at positions 810 to 2925 of the family's 2925-position model. The record is from RNAcentral.
UGUGGUUAGCGGUGAAAUGCCAAUCGAACUCGGAGAUAGCUGGUUCUCCUCGAAACAGUUUUAGGACUGGCGUCAUGUGGUAGCAGUCGGGGGUAGAGCUCUGUAAAGGACUGGGGGGAGCAAUCCUACCCACCCUUAACAAACUACGAAUACCGGCUGUGGAAUCAUGGCAGUUAGAACGGCGGAGCUAAGUUCGUCGCUCAAAAGGGAAACAGCCCAGACCAUCGUCUAAGGUCCCUAAAUUUACGUUAAGUGGGAAACAAGGUGAGAUUUCUUAAACAGCUAGGAUGUUGGCUUAGAAGCAGCCAUUCAUUUAAAGAGUGCGUAACAGCUCACUAGUCAAGAGAUCUUGCGUGGAAAAUGUAACGGGGCUAAACGUAAUACCGAAGACAUGGAUACUUUGCAAAGAAUAAAAUUUACGAUAGGUGACUAUUUGACAUUUUAGACAUCAUAGUGUAUUAUUGUUACAUAAGUUAACGUAAUACACAAAAGAAAGUUGUAAGAAUGAACAAAAAAGAAUUACUAUCAGGAGAAAGUAUUUACACUGCGACAGCUUCCGGAGAGGCGCAUCAGCCUACUUUAGAGAAACAACUUGCAAGUUUGUCUCCAGAAGAUAGUAUUCGAGUUGCAAACGCUCUCGUUGAGAGUGGCGCGGCUCAGGCUAUAGUCAGAAACAUUGCUAAUUUAGAAUUAACGUCUGAGCAGCAGCAACAUAUCCUAGAAGCUCUCUCAGAGGAAUAUGAAGAAACGGAACAAUCGUAAAUUUUAUUCUUUGCAAAGUGUGGUAGAGGAGCGUUCCUAUCGGCAGUGAAGCAGCAUUGUAAAGUGCUGUGGAGCGGUAGGAAGUGAGAAUGCUGGAAUGAGUAACCAUAAGAGAGGUGAGAAUCCUCUCGGCCGUAAGAGCAAGGUUUCCUGAGCUAUGGUAAUCAUCUCAGGGUUAGUCGGGCCUAAGCCGAGGCGCAGAGCGUAGGCGAUGGACAUCAGGUUAAUAUUCCUGAACCGGUUAAGUUUUGUACACUGUUCACGGGGAAGUAAUCGAAGCGGAUUCAUGGUUUAUCCGUCCAACCGAGCGGGAACGCAAAGGGAGUGAAAGUGAUUCUUCGGAGUCGCGAUUUUGGUGAAAGCCCUGGCUAGAAAAGCAGGUGUACGCAUGGACUUAGCCGCCCGUACCGCAAACCAACACAGGUGCUCGAGUCGAGUAGACUCAGGCUUACGAGUGAACCUUCGCUAAGGAACUCGGCAAUACAGCGACCGUAACUUCGGAAUAAGGUCUGCCCCCACUUCGGUGGAUAUGUUGUCGGUUUCAAAGCUAGCAGGUGUGGUUGAAGAGUAUCUUUAAUACAUCAAUUCUUCUUGAGAUAGAACCAAUAGCUUUUGGAACUGAAGCUCAACGCAUCUAGCGAUGUGGGGGCCGCAGCAAAAGAGCCCACGGAACUGUUUAUCAAAAACACAGCUCUCUGCUAACACGAAAGUGGAUGUAUAGGGGGUGACUCCUGCCCGGUGCUGGAAGGUUAAGGGGAGUGCUUCACGGUACGAACUGAAGCCCCAGUGAACGGCGGCGGUAACUAUAACCGUCCUAAGGUAGCGAAAUUCCUUGUCAGGUAAGUUCUGACCCGCACGAAUGGAGUAAUCAUGUGGGCACUGUCUCAGCGAAGGACUCGGUGAAAGUGCAUUGGCGGUAAAGAUGCCGUCUGUCCAUACCAGGACGAGAAGACCCCAUGGAGCUUUACUACAGCUUUACAUUGAUCCAGGUUUCAGCAUGUGUAGCAUAGUUGGGAGACUUUGAAACAGAUACGCUAGUAUUUGCGGAGUCGCAAUGUGAAAUACCAACCUUGCUGUGAUCUUGAUCUCACUUGUGCCGUUAUCCGGUACAAGGACCGUGUAUGGUGGGUAGUUUAACUGGGGCGGUUGCCUCCUAAAGAGUAGCGGAGGCGUUCAAAGGUUGGCUAACUUCGGAUGGAAAUCGAAGUGAUAGUGUAUGCGCAUAAGCCAGCUUGACUGUGAGGAGUACAUUCCAAUCAGAGACGAAAGUCGGAGCAAGUGACCCGCUGUACGAACAUUUGUUCAUUGAAUGUGGGAUCGACAGCGCACACGGAUAAAAGUUACCCUGGGGAUAACAGGCUUAUAGCGCCCAAUAGUUCACAUAGACGGCGCUGUUUGGCACCUCGAUGUCGGCUCAUCACAUCCUGGAGGGGGAGCACCUUCCAAGGGUUCGGCUGUUCGCCGAUUAAAGUGGUACGCGAGCUGGGUUCAGAACGUCGUGAGACAGUUCGGUUUAUAUCCGGUAUGGACGUCAGGAAAUUUGCGAGGAUUUGCCCCUAGUACGAGAGGACCGGGGUGAACGCACCGCUGGUGUACGGAUUGUGGCCACCUGCUGCAUUGUCCGGUAGCUAUGUGCGGACCAGAUAAGCGCUGAAAGCAUAUUAAGCGCGAAACUGACCUCAAGAUUAGAUUUCCCUAUGAGGACACAGAUAGACUAUCUGUUUGAUAGGUGCAAGGUGGAAGUGCAGUAAUGUAUGGAGCCGAAGCAUACUAAUAGUCCCAUUGCCUUUUUAU